AACGGUCUAUACCUGCGGUACCUGCGGAGGGAUCAUUAACAAUUGUCCUGUUUUUAUGGAUAAUUUUAUCCAUAUCCACCUUGUGUGAACUAGAGAAAUGUGAGUUGGCAGGUUUUUCUCUUCUUUUGGAGAGGAUGAAGGUGCUUCAGUUGAGGCGCCUUAUGAGAAAAAUUCUCGGCCUGCCAAUUUUUAUAAGUCUCAACUCGUCUGUAACUGUUUUAUGACUGAAAAUUUUAAAAU
This 240-nucleotide unclassified non-coding RNA is filed under the name soil metagenome. Its description in RNAcentral is "partial contains 5.8S ribosomal RNA, internal transcribed spacer 2, and large subunit ribosomal RNA". The record is from RNAcentral.